UACGUAGGGACCGAGCGUUGUCCGGAAUUAUUGGGCGUAAAGGGCUCGUAGGCGGUUUGUCGCGUCGGGAGUGAAAAUCCAGGGCUUAACUCUGGACUGGCUUCCGAUACGGGCAGACUAGAGGUAUGCAGGGGAGAACGGAAUUCCUGGUGUAGCGGUGAAAUGCGCAGAUAUCAGGAGGAACACCGGUGGCGAAGGCGGUUCUCUGGGCCGAUACUGACGCUGAGGAGCGAAAGCGUGGGGAGCGAACAGG
RNAcentral lists this ribosomal RNA (253 nucleotides) under uncultured bacterium. RNAcentral's name for it is "partial 16S ribosomal RNA". It matches the Rfam family "Bacterial small subunit ribosomal RNA", at positions 524 to 776 of the family's 1533-position model. The record is from RNAcentral.